CGCGGCGCACACUCAUUCAAACUUGCGGGCUGCGGUAGGUCGUGUCACAGAGUGGCGCCACGAUCGCAGUCUUCCCCGCUACGCGAUCUCAUACACAUUUUCUUUGAAAUUUCGUGCAAUUGCAAAGAAAAAAGUGAAUACGCGCGAAACAUUCGGUGACUUAUUGGUGCCUUGUGAUUUAUGUUUUUUUUACAUAGACUCAUUUUUUAUAAUUAUUAUUAUUAUCAAGAUCAACUUCUUCGAUAUUAAUAAAGAAGGACGUGAUCGCGUUAGUGAUUCGAAGAUUUCGACGCUUCGAUUAAGAAGGAUUGCGUUUGUCAACGAAGCAAUAACAACAUUACAGAAAUCAUCACAUACGGUGCUUGAACUUAUCGACAAAUCCAUAUCAUUUUUAGACAAUUUUAACUCAAUUAUCAAGUAUUUAGAUAAAGAGUAUGUAAUUAUAUCCUCCAAGUUUUUUUUUUGAUAACGAUAAAAUAAAGUCUAUGAAAUGAGAAUAAUUAAGAAUACGACAGGAAUUUCGAGGGGCAUUAUGGCAAUGAUGACUAUGAGGGGCGGCUUGAGGAUUCUAUGGACGGUGGUGGCUGCCGGAGUCUUACUCACGAGGAGUAGCGCCGCUCCAACCUUCGGUACUACAGAUAAGGCGACGAUGUAUUUAGCACAGUACGGUUAUUUAAGUCCAUCAGUAAGGAAUCCUUCGAGUGGGCACAUUAUGGAUGAGAGCUCGUGGAGGCGAGCCAUUGCCGAAUUUCAGAGCUUCGCUGGUCUUAAUGCUACGGGUGAACUGGAUGACCAAACGAACGAAAUGAUGUCAUUGCCAAGGUGUGGAGUUAGAGAUAAAGUAGGCUUCGGAGAGAGUCGUGCCAAAAGAUACGCAUUGCAAGGGUCAAGAUGGCGUGUCAAAAAUCUGACGUACAAGAUAUCCAAGUACCCAUCAAGACUGAAUCGCGCCGAAGUCGAUGCUGAGCUUGCCAAAGCCUUCUCCGUCUGGUCUGACUACACGGAUCUUACUUUCACACAAAAGAGAUCCGGUCAAGUCCACAUAGAAAUUAGGUUUGAGAAAGGCGAGCACGGUGACGGAGAUCCUUUUGAUGGUCCAGGAGGCACCCUCGCCCACGCUUAUUUCCCGGUGUAUGGAGGUGAUGCCCAUUUUGAUGACGCUGAGAUGUGGUCCAUCAAUUCCCGUAGAGGAACUAAUCUUUUCCAGGUAGCAGCACAUGAGUUUGGUCACUCGCUGGGUCUCUCACACAGCGAUGUAAGAUCCGCAUUGAUGGCGCCGUUUUAUCGCGGUUACGAUCCUGCUUUCCAACUCGAUCAGGACGACGUCCAAGGAAUUCAGUCGCUUUAUGGCCACAAGACCCAGACAGACAUUGGUGGCGGUGGCGGCGGACUGAUACCUUCCGUUCCUCGAGCGACCACGCAGCAGCCGUCAGCUGAGGAUCCGGCUCUCUGCGCUGAUCCUCGUAUUGAUACUAUCUUUAAUUCUGCCGACGGUUCGACUUUUGUAUUCAAAGGCGACCAUUACUGGAGGCUAACUGAAGAUGGCGUAGCGGCUGGGUACCCGCGUCUUAUUUCCCGAGCCUGGCCUGGUCUCCCCGGAAACAUUGAUGCAGCAUUUACCUACAAGAACGGCAAGACUUACUUCUUUAAGGGCUCGAAGUACUGGAGGUACAAUGGGCAGAAGAUGGACGGGGAUUACCCCAAGGAUAUUAGUGAAGGCUUCACCGGUAUCCCAGAUAACCUAGAUGCGGCUUUGGUUUGGUCCGGCAACGGCAAGAUCUAUUUCUACAAGGGCUCGAAAUUCUGGCGAUUUGACCCUGCACAACGGCCCCCCGUGAAAGCUACCUACCCGAAGCCUUUGUCUAACUGGGAUGGAAUACCUGAUAACAUCGAUGCAGCGUUGCAGUACACUAACGGAUACACCUACUUUUUCAAGGGGGGAUCAUAUUGGAGAUUCAACGACAGAUUGUUCAGUGUGGACACAGACAACCCUCAGUUCCCGCGUUCAACCGCGUUCUGGUGGUUGGGCUGCAGCAGCGCGCCGCGCGGCACCGUCGGAGGUGUAAAAUCAUCCGCUCCCAGAUCAUUCUUCUGGUUCAGGAAAUAGCCUCGGUGGAGAGUUCCUGAACAUUGUACAUAUAAUGUUUGCAUACAGAAAAAAGACUCAAUUAGUUACAUAGCAAAUAUAUGAGAAUACCAGUGAGAUUAAAAAAGCUUAAGCGGUGAUUUUAGAACCGGCGAGCUUGUCACAAUCUGCCUUGGUCAACGUUCAGUCGGACGGAGCCAGACUUUAAUAUAAUGAUUGUGGUUCCGUGCCGCCUCAUGUAUUAGGAGGCCUCAAAACGACCUCCGCCACGACACCAUUCACACGCAU
This 2374-nucleotide unclassified non-coding RNA is filed under the name Bombyx mandarina (wild silkworm). RNAcentral's name for it is "matrix metalloproteinase-2, transcript variant X9". The record is from RNAcentral. Lineage: Eukaryota; Metazoa; Arthropoda; Insecta; Lepidoptera; Bombycidae.